AAUGGCUUCUUCUCCCUCAACAAGGAGACUCAGGUCACUGAUGAGAUAAGCUGCAAACUUCUUCUUCUGGCAGGCUGUGGAUGAUAAAUAGAGGCCAAGUGAAACCUGCUGACAAAGCUGUACCAGCUGAAACCUUUACAGGACUCGUCGAGAAAACUUUGAGUAUCUAAAGGUUGUGAGGGAUAUGGAUGGCUAUGGUGAGAUCGUGUUUCCUCACUGCUCGUGUGAUUCUCGUAAGGAUGGUCAUGUGAUUGCUGUAUUUAGCAUUCACAGCUUCAAACUACAGGCC
This is a long non-coding RNA of Priapulus caudatus, 289 nucleotides long. RefSeq lists it as uncharacterized. The record is from RefSeq and is a predicted model, not a curated record. The transcript has 3 exons. Lineage: Eukaryota; Metazoa; Priapulida; Priapulimorpha; Priapulimorphida; Priapulidae.